AUGCUGAUGCUGAUGCGCCCCCCUCUCCAACUAACGUGCAGGUUCAUUUUUAGAUCAGGAAACAGCCAGCGGCGGGGUGACCACACACCGCAGGGGGAAACUACACGAGAUCUUUCCAACACGCCGCAUCAUUUGCAGCAACUCCUAGAUCGGGAAACUUCCUUCGGCAAGCCCUCAAACACGGCAAAGGAAGCUAAGUUGAUCACCAAAGACACCAUGAACAUCAAGAACAGAACAGAGCUCGGCUCAGUUUCGGACGUGCGUUGCGUACAAAAUUCAUUUUCAUUCUCAUUGGAGCAGCUAACAAAGUCCGGCCCGCGCUUAUUUUGA
This 330-nucleotide ribosomal RNA is filed under the name Triticum aestivum (bread wheat). Its description in RNAcentral is "partial small subunit ribosomal RNA". The record is from RNAcentral. Lineage: Eukaryota; Viridiplantae; Streptophyta; Magnoliopsida; Poales; Poaceae.